Molecule: long non-coding RNA, 189 nt
Organism: Alosa alosa (allis shad)
Lineage: Eukaryota; Metazoa; Chordata; Actinopteri; Clupeiformes; Clupeidae
Exons: 3
Source: RefSeq, a predicted model, not a curated record
AAUUGCUGAACAAACAGCGUACCAAAAUGCCUACGUUAUGCACUGUGGAACGCUCUGCGGAUGGACAGCUGUGGAAUCCACAAAGGUCAAAGAGGCUUUUGUUACGAGGGCUGGAGGUUCCAAAACAUCCAUGAAGCUGGGGAUAAAAGACGCAGAUUGACCAGCCCACGCUUUCAUCCACCAUUGUAC